UGUUACAAAAUUUCACCAUUUCCUAAACUGUUCUUGGAGCUACUAUAGGUGCAAUUAUUAUUGCUCUCGUGAUAGCUAAUAUGCCAUGUUUGUUUAACUUUCUUUGAUGGGUAAUAUUUGUAUUUACUGUUACAAGUGGUUCAACUGUGUUGACAACGUGGGAAAGAAAUCAAAACAGAUCAGGAUUUGCUCUGUUUUGUGUUCGAAGGAAGUCUCUGAAGAACAA
Camelina sativa (false flax) is the source of this 226-nucleotide non-coding RNA. The record is from RefSeq and is a predicted model, not a curated record. NCBI's taxonomy places the organism in Eukaryota, Viridiplantae, Streptophyta, Magnoliopsida, Brassicales, Brassicaceae.